This is a long non-coding RNA of Myotis lucifugus (little brown bat), 1285 nucleotides long. RefSeq lists it as uncharacterized. NCBI's taxonomy places the organism in Eukaryota, Metazoa, Chordata, Mammalia, Chiroptera, Vespertilionidae. The transcript has 2 exons. The record is from RefSeq and is a predicted model, not a curated record.
UGCAAUGGGCCAGGCGCCCUGCAGCAAAGGAAAACAAAUGAGAUCCAGCCCGGUCUCCGUGGAAGGAGGAAGGCGUGAAACUUCUUGGGAAAACAAGACCCGCACACAAUACUGGGACACAGACACAGACAGGCAUGGAGGCAAGAUGAUGUGAAGAGACACCGGGGGAAAAGAGCCACCCACAAAGCAAGGAGAGGCCCAGCACAGAUCCUGUCCUCACAGCCCUCAGAAGGAACCAGCUCUGCCUACACCUGGAUUUUGGACGUCUAGCCUCCAGAACUGUGUGCCCACACAGAUGUGUUGGUGAAGCCACCCAGUGUGUGGAGUUUUGUUCUGGCAGCCCCAGCACUUUAUUCCUGUGCUAUGAGCCUCAGUGGUUUCUUACAGCCCAUUUGUCACCAGUCGAGUGUGCCAGGAGCAGGUGCUGAGACAAGAUUUGGGGUGCAAAAUGUUUAUUAGGGAUCAAACCCUGUAAGAGGAAGGGGAAGGAGCCAUCAUAAGAAACAAAUGCAAAUGACAUGACACCAGUUAACUUAUAUGGCCAGCUAGUCCUGCUUUAAAAAUAGAAAAAGCUCAAAAUAAUUAAUAUCAGAAAAAGUAUAGAUGAUCUUCAAACUUGAUUUAUACCUAUUACACUCUUUAUUAGUUUAUAAAGAGUAUAACAUAAUUAAGGGUUUAUCUAUUUUCAUAUGGAGGGAGCUUUAUAAUCUACUAGUAUUACUUGGAUGGAAUUUUUAAUGCUAAUAACAAUAUUUUAUGAAUGUUAAGGCAAUACUAAUAUUUAGUUAGAAUUUAAGUCAAUAUAAUUUAAGGUAAAUAUUUUUUUCAAAAAAGGAUGGGGAAGGGAUUAAGAUUGGGCAGAGGGAAAAGUUGAAUGAUAAUGUACAUGCAAGGAGGCAUCAAGCAAACCAGUAUUGAGCUCUGGACUUAAUAUUGUCCACCAGGGUUGUCUUGCAUUGGGUCAAAAUGACUGGGCCUUUCUCCCCAUCAGGCUCAGUCACUGGAUACAGGCUGCCACAGGAAGGGUGGCCUCAGGCAAGGAGGCUCUACUGAAGCCGACCCUGAAGGAGUGGGCAGUGGAGGUUUCCUUGAAGGGAACCUGUCUACACAUCUCACAUCUCCCACGCUGCUCGUGGGAUAGUGAAGAACAGUACACCGCUAAAAUAUUUUAGCCAAUCUACAUAUCUUGAAUACCUUUAAUUUCAUCAACAAGAGUCCAUUUCUAAUACCAUACUUUUUAACAAACUAAUUUCAACAAUAAAAAUUAAUUUCUGACAUUCAAAUG